GCUCAGCCUGGCAGACAUGGUACUACUUCUGAAAGCAACCAUCUUCUCCUCCCUCUGGGCUUUUGGACUCGGAUACUUGGAGCAACCUGAAAUCUCAGUUUCCAGAGCCACAGAUGGCAGUGCCCACGUACCUUGUAAGGCAUCCUUCAGUACUUUCCGCAGUGCAUUCAUACAUUGGUACCGACAGAAACCCGGCCAAAGCUUAGAGUAUCUAAUGUAUGUCAUUUACACUUCCAGUCAGCAAUCUUUAAAUGGGAAGGACAGGAAAUUUGAGGCAAGUAAGAAUUUUAGCACUUCCACAGCAACUUUGA
Dipodomys spectabilis (banner-tailed kangaroo rat) is the source of this 311-nucleotide long non-coding RNA. RefSeq lists it as uncharacterized. Lineage: Eukaryota; Metazoa; Chordata; Mammalia; Rodentia; Heteromyidae. The transcript has 2 exons. The record is from RefSeq and is a predicted model, not a curated record.